CUCCGUGGUUUUCCUAUGUUGAUGAAAAAACAGGGACGCCCGUCAAUGCCACAGCGGUCAUGAUGUCUGCUACUGCAAUCAUCGCCUUCUUCACAAAGCUCGAAAUUCUCUCCAAUCUCUUGUCGAUCUCCACCCUUUUCAUCUUCAUGCUCGUGGCCCUCGCUCUCCUCGUUCGCCGUUACUAUGUGAGUGGUGUGACCACAAACGCAAACCGCAACAAGCUAAUUAUAUGCAUAUUGCUCAUCCUCGGGUCCUCAAUCGCCACAGCUGCUUACUGGGG
This 280-nucleotide unclassified non-coding RNA is filed under the name Hevea brasiliensis (rubber tree). Lineage: Eukaryota; Viridiplantae; Streptophyta; Magnoliopsida; Malpighiales; Euphorbiaceae. The record is from RNAcentral.